RNAcentral lists this non-coding RNA (31 nucleotides) under Homo sapiens (human). The record is from RNAcentral. Lineage: Eukaryota; Metazoa; Chordata; Mammalia; Primates; Hominidae.
UUCUUCAUCUCUGUAACCCCAGAAGCUCUCC